UACAGAGGUCCCAAGCGUUGUUCGGAUUCACUGGGCGUAAAGGGUGCGUAGGUGGCGAGGUAAGUCGGAUGUGAAAUCUCCAAGCUCAACUUGGAAAUGGCAUUGGAAACUACCUUGCUUGAGGGUCGGAGGGGGGACUGGAAUUCUCGGUGUAGCAGUGAAAUGCGUAGAUAUCGAGAGGAACACCAGUGGCGAAGGCGGCCUUCUGGACAGUGACUGACGCUGAGACGCGAAAGCGUGGGGAGCAAACAGG
Molecule: ribosomal RNA, 253 nt
Filed under: uncultured bacterium
Lineage: Bacteria
Description: partial 16S ribosomal RNA
Rfam family: Bacterial small subunit ribosomal RNA
Source: RNAcentral